This 253-nucleotide ribosomal RNA is filed under the name uncultured bacterium. Its description in RNAcentral is "partial 16S ribosomal RNA". It matches the Rfam family "Bacterial small subunit ribosomal RNA", at positions 524 to 776 of the family's 1533-position model. The record is from RNAcentral.
UACGUAGGGUGCAAGCGUUAAUCGGAAUUACUGGGCGUAAAGGGCGCGUAGGCGGGAUGGCAAGUCGGUCGUGAAAUCCUUCGGCUCAACCGAAGAACGUCGAUCGAUACUGCUGUUCUUGAGGGUUGCAGAGGAGACUGGAAUUCCCGGUGUAGCGGUGAAAUGUGUAGAGAUCGGGAGGAACACCGGUGGCGAAGGCGGGUCUCUGGGCAAUUCCUGACGCUGAGGCGCGAAAGCGUGGGGAGCAAACGGG